GACAAAGACAAGAUGGCAGAUACUCUUUGCAGGUGGCGUUCGCCAUCCCCAAGCCUGAGACAACAAAAACCGAUGACAAACAAACCCCCCAAAAGCUGGAUCAUCUGCAUUGAGCUGCACUGCCCUGCUCUGCUUGGGUUUGAUCCCAUGCUGCGCCACCCAGUUCUGCUCAGAAGGAAAAUGUAUCAGUUCUACAAUUGGAAAAGGUCUUACCAUAUUAUGAUGGAACUAUGAAAAGCUAUUUUAAACUCAAGACAUUCUUUUUCAGGACUGCAGAAGUCAGACUCAAGUUUUUCCAAAAACUUGGUAGGUGUGUUUUACAUCUCACUAUUCAAAUCAGACAUCACAGCAAACAGAAGCCAUUCUAUGGAGAGGCAGCUAAUGACUAGUUAUAUAAAUCCUACUUUUGAGGAAUAUCAUUAGAAAGCACACUUCCAUGCUACCCUUUUGUAGAGAACACACAGAAUGUUGAAACCAUUCUUUUAAUUCCAUUGGUCAUCUGUUGAAGUCCUCACACUUCUUUCAAGAUGGAAAAUUUCUCAUCUUUAUGAUGUUCAUUCCCUUUAGAACAUGGCUACACGAAUAUCACACUUACUGAGAAGUUAGAGAAGCAAAAGGAAUGGGUAAGAAAUAACUGGGUAUGUUCAUCAACAAAAACUUUGACAAGCACAAUACUUGUGGUAUUAAGUGUAAUCUAAAUAAAUAUAUGUAUAUUGCAAUAUAAUUAUGAUAUAAAAUAUUUUUGUUUGGGUAUAUAC
This is a long non-coding RNA of Empidonax traillii (willow flycatcher), 758 nucleotides long. RefSeq lists it as uncharacterized. Lineage: Eukaryota; Metazoa; Chordata; Aves; Passeriformes; Tyrannidae. The record is from RefSeq and is a predicted model, not a curated record. The transcript has 3 exons.